UAUUGGACAAUGGGCGCAAGCCUGAUCCAGCCAUACCGCGUGGGUGAAGAAGGCCUUNNNGUUGUNACGCCCUUUUGUUGGGANAGANAUCCAGCUGGCUAAUACCCGGUUGGGAUGACGGUACCCAAAGAAUAAGCCCCGGCUAACUUCGUGCCAGCAGCCGCGGUAAUACGAAGGGUGCAAGCGUUACUCGGAAUUACUGGGCGUAAAGCGUGCGUAGGUGGUCGUUUAAGUCCGUUGUGAAAGCCCUGGGCUCAACCUGGGAACUGCAGUGGAUACUGGGCGACUAGAAUGUGGUAGAGGGUAGCGGAAUUCCUGGUGUAGCAGUGAAAUGCGUAGAGAUCAGGAGGAACAUCCAUGGCGAAGGCAGCUACCUGGACCAACAUUGACACUGAGGCACGAAAGCGUGGGGAGCAAAC
This 419-nucleotide ribosomal RNA is filed under the name uncultured bacterium. RNAcentral's name for it is "partial 16S ribosomal RNA". It matches the Rfam family "Bacterial small subunit ribosomal RNA", at positions 362 to 773 of the family's 1533-position model. The record is from RNAcentral.